RNAcentral lists this ribosomal RNA (450 nucleotides) under uncultured bacterium. Its description in RNAcentral is "partial 16S ribosomal RNA". It matches the Rfam family "Bacterial small subunit ribosomal RNA", at positions 328 to 795 of the family's 1533-position model. The record is from RNAcentral.
GCUCCAGACUCCUACGGGAGGCAGCAGUGGGGAAUAUUGCACAAUGGGGGAAACCCUGAUGCAGCGACGCCGCGUGAGCGAUGAAGUAUUUCGGUAUGUAAAGCUCUAUCAGCAGGGAAGAAGAUGACGGUACCUGACUAAGAAGCCCCGGCUAACUACGUGCCAGCAGCCGCGGUAAUACGUAGGGGGCAAGCGUUAUCCGGAUUUACUGGGUGUAAAGGGGGCGCAGACGGCGAUGCAAGCCAGGAGUGAAAGCCCGGGGCCCAACCCCGGGACUGCUCUUGGAACUGCGUGGCUGGAGUGCAGGAGGGGCAGGCGGAAUUCCUGGUGUAGCGGUGAAAUGCGUAGAUAUCAGGAGGAACACCAGUGGCGAAGGCGGCCUGCUGGGCGUUAACUGACGCUGAGGCUCGAAAGUGUGGGUAGCAAACAGGAUUAGAUACCCUUGUAAUU